Molecule: ribosomal RNA, 351 nt
Filed under: uncultured bacterium
Lineage: Bacteria
Description: partial 16S ribosomal RNA
Rfam family: Bacterial small subunit ribosomal RNA
Source: RNAcentral
CCUACGGGUGGCAGCAGUAGGGAAUUUUUCACAAUGGGCGAAAGCCUGAUGGAGCAAUGCCGCGUGAAUGAUGAAGGUCUUAUAGAUUGUAAAAUUCUUUUAUGUGGGAAGAAAAACUAAAGGAGGAAAGGACUUUAGUCUGACUGUACCAUGGGAAUAAGGAUCGGCGAACUAUGUGCCAGCAGCCGCGGUAAUACAUAGGAUGCAAGCGUUAUCCGGAUUUACUGGGCGUAAAACGAGCGCAGGCGGGUUAACAAGUUUGGUAUGAACGGCUUUUGCUUAACGAAAGUUUGUAUCCAAAACUGUUAAUCUAGAGUGUAGUAGAGCGUUCUGGACUUCCAUGUGGAGCGG